GCCUGCUGACCGCGCCGAGCGCCGAGCUGGACUGACCACGGCGGCCCGGGGAGGGAGAGGAAGCAGCCGGCCCGCCCCUGGACUCGCGCGCUCGCCGCCGCCGAGGGGAUUGAGCUGAGGCGCCGCGGCCGCGGGAGCUGAGAGGAAGGAGGAGCCGCCGCGGGACUGUGCCGGGGCAGAGCCGAGAGACCGACUCGGAGAAGGCAGCGGAGAGGAGGAUGUCUCGCCGAGCGGCCGGCGCCCGGAUCAGCCCGUGACUCCUGCAGCGGCGGGCCUCAGACCCCAGCGCCGACUCGGACUUUGUCUGUGGGGGCCCGUGCUCUGCCCUCCCCGGCCUCCGGCGGGAUCCCAGAGGAGCCGGCGUGCCCCUCUGCCCUCCAGCCUUCUUCACCAUGUCCAAGAUGCCGGCCAAGAAGAAGAGCUGCUUCCAGAUCACCAGUGUCACCACGGCCCAGGUGGCCACCAGCAUCACCGAGGACACCGAGAGCCUGGACGACCCGGACGAGUCACGCACGGAGGACGUGUCCUCCGAGAUUUUCGACGUCUCCCGGGCCACGGAUUAUGGCCCCGAGGAGGUCUGCGAGCGCAGCUCCUCCGAAGAGACGCUCAACAACGUUGGGGAUGCAGAGACUCCCGGGACCGUCUCCCCAAACCUCCCCCUGGAUGGGCAGCUGGCGGCCGCGGCGGCCGCUCCCGCCAACGGAGGAGGAGUCAUUUCGGCCCGGAGCGUGGCUGGGGCGCUCGCCAGUACCCUGGCCGCGGCUGCCACCUCGGCCCCCGCCCCCGGGGCACCCGGCGGCCCCCCGGUCGCGGGCUCGUCCGCCGGCGCGGGAGCUGCAGCCCCAUCGCAGCCUCCUGCCACUUGUAGUUCCCGUUUUCGCGUGAUCAAGCUGGACCACGGGAGCGGGGAGCCCUAUCGACGCGGCCGAUGGACGUGUAUGGAAUACUAUGAGCGGGAUUCAGACAGCAGCGUCCUGACGAGGUCCGGGGAUUGCAUUAGACACAGCAGUACUUUUGAUCAGACUGCAGAGCGGGACAGUGGCCUGGGCGCCACCGGAGGGUCGGUGGUGGUAGUGGUGGCCUCCAUGCAGGGGGCGCACGGGCCCGACUCGGGAACUGACAGCUCUUUGACUGCUGUGUCACAGCUACCCCCGUCGGAGAAAAUGAGCCAGCCCACUCCGGCCCAGCCGCCGAGUUUUAGCGUUGGGCAGCCACAGCCGCCGCCGCCCGUAGGUGGGGCUGUGGCUCAAAGCUCGGCUCCGCUGCCGCCGUUCCCGGGAGCCGCGGCCGGGCCGCAGCCAAUGAUGGCAGCCGCUCCGCCAAGCCAGCCCCAGGGAACGGGUCCCGGCGGACAGGGUCUGCAGCAGACGAAUGUAACCCUGGCGCCGCCGGCCCUGUCCCUGCCUCCGCAGCCGGGCCCGGUCGUCGGCGCUUCGGCAACGCCGCAGCCCCAGCAGUUCGCGUAUCCCCAGCCUCCGAUACCGCCGGGGCAUUUGCUGCCCGUCCAGCCCUCCAUGCAGAGUGAGUACCUGCAGCAGCACGUGCCCGGCCUGCAGCCGCCGAGCCCCGCGCAGCCCUCGUCCACCGGCGCGGGAGCAAGCCCCGCCAUGGCGGCCAGCCUUCCCGUGGGCACCGGCCAGAAUGCCUCCUCAGUGGGCGCGCAGAUCUUGGGCGCGUCUUCCCAGCCCAGUGAGGCCGUGGCCCCCGCGCAAGGCGGGCAGGCUGCGCCUUGUCAGCCGGCCGGAGUGCCCCCGGCUGCUGUGGGAGGCGUGGUGCAGCCGUGCUUGGGUCCUGCCGGGGCUGGGCAGCCCCAAUCUGUGCCUCCGCCGCAGAUGGGUGGCAGUGGUCAGCUGUCAGCCGUACCUGGUGGCCCUCACGCCGUGGUGCCCGGAGUUCCAAACGUGCCUGCACCCGUGCCCGCUCCAAGCGUGCCUAGUGUGUCUACCACUUCUGUUACUAUGCCAAAUGUACCCGCGCCUCUGGCCCAGUCGCAGCCGCUGAGCAGCCAUACGCCAGUCAGGAGCAGCAGCGUAAUUCAGCACGUUGGGCUGCCCUUAGCUCAAGGCACACACAGUGCACCAACAAGUCUACCACAGUCUGACCCAAGCCAGUUUCAGACUCAGACCCAGCCUUUAGUCGGGCAAGUUGACGAUGCUAGAAGAAAAUCAGAACCCCUACCUCAACCGCCACUUUCUCUUCUUGCUGAAAAUAAGCCUGUUGUGAAGCCUCCUGUUGCAGAUGCCCUGGCAAACCCCCUUCAGUUAACACCUAUGAACAGUCUGGCCACCUCUGUGUUCAGCAUAGCUAUUCCUGUUGAUGGCGAUGAAGACAGGAAUCCUUCAACUGCUUUCUACCAAGCGUUCCAUUUGAACACGUUUCAGGAAUCAAAGAGCCUCUGGGAUAGAAUUUUUUUUAGAAUUCAGCAUCGGAGGAGGAAUGUGACAUAAUAAUGAUCGAAAGCCGAAAGUUUAAAAGUUGUGAUGCCCUCACAUGGUUGGAGGGUUAUUCUAGCUUCUAAGGACUGAAUGUUGUCCACAAGAGUGUCUCAUCAGGUCAUAAAUUGUGCAUCUGGGGGAGGUGUUGUAGCCAUUGACAACAAAAUAGAACAAGCGAUGGAUCUGGUGAAAAGCCAUUUGAUGUAUGCAGUAAGAGAAGAAGUGGAAGUUUUAAAGGAACAAAUAAAAGAAUUAGUUGAAAGAAACUCUUUACUUGAACGAGAAAAUGCACUGUUAAAAUCUCUUUCAAACAAUGAUCAAUUAUCCCAACUCCCAGCCCAACAGGCCAAUCCUGGUAGCACUUCUCAACAGCAAGCAGUGAUAGCACAGCCUCCGCAGCCAACGCAACCUCCACAGCAGCCGAAUGUCUCCUCAGCAUAAAGCUUUCUUAAGCCUCAUUAAGAAAAAAACUGAAAGCAAUCUAUCCUUGUGUGCCACUGAUGUUCUUUCCACUUUAUACGAAAGCAAGUAGCCAUGCUUUGGUUGUGUGUUUGGCCUUUUCAGUAUUAGACAAUCAUUCUACAAGAGCUUUUUCUCUCUCUGAGAUGUCAUGCAGCGCUGUUGAUGUCCAGUUCCAUGUCAUCAGUACACAAGGAGAAUAAUAGAUGGGGUUUAUUAAAGCAAGCAAAGUCUGCAUUUUACCUGGUGCGCACGAGUAGGGUCUUUAAGAGUUUUGGUGGCUCUCCCUUGUUUCCUAUUACCCAUGGAUUUACCCUGAGCCUUCCUAUCACAUUAUAAAUAACAGUUCAUCUAAAGAGCCACUUUUCUUUCAAUAUCAGUAACAUUUGCCUACAUAAGUUUUCAUUUAUUUGUGUUUUAUUUAUUACAGGGCUGCUAUUUUCAUAAUGUACAUGAACAAUGUCACAGAACUUUUUUAAUUUUUUUGAAUAAUUAUAAGUAUCAGUAAAGGAAUUUAAAGACAGGAUUGCAUUUAAUAAAACGUUUAUGCAAUAAUUGAACAAAAGAAUCCUGGCAUAUUUCUAACACUAAUGGCAAUUUACCUUUGGUAUUUAUUUUCAGUAGUAAAGACCCAGCUUGAAUGUAAAUUUUGUAUAGUGUAAGUAUGAAGAACAUAGUGCAACUGUACAGGUAGUCACCAGUUAUUGUGAUAUAAUAAAUAAUUGGGCUAUUUUGAUGAAGAAAACUCUGUUCAUUUGUUUCUACUUUCUAAUAGAGAAAUUGCCAUGAUUCCUCUGCUUUUCAACAUUUCGUAUGACUUUGUUUUUUUUUUCGGGUGGGAAUAAAAAGCUGUGAAAUUGUUCAACCUACUUUGUAACCAAAGAAGCAAAGCUGUGUAAUGGAGUUGUUUUUUUUUGGUUUUUUUUUUUAUAAUGCACAUUCUUUAUGUAUUUUUAUUUAGUGUUUUCUUGGUCACAAUUUUCUUUGCUGUCUAGCAUGAUCUGCAUGACCUAUAAUCUUUGAACCACUUUCGUACCUCAUGUUUUUAUCCAGCACUCUUAUUGUAAUAUGUACUAGUCUGUGAACAAUGUCAAGUAAAAAAGAAAGAACAGGUAGUAUGGUGGAGCUGAGCUAGUGUACAAUACACUAGUUGUAAAAAAAAAAAAAAUGAAGUGAGCCAUCUUUUGUUCAUUUAAAAUGGUGUUUUGAAUUUCGUAUGCAGAAAACGUUUUGUUACAUUGCAGAUUUUAAUGUAUUUAAUAAAUGCAACAUGCAGAUUAAGUGCAGUGUAUACUGAGUAUUUAAAUUAAAAUGUACAUUUCAUAAAUACAGUUUCAAGAGAAAGCAUCAUUUUGUGUAUACUAACACAUUAAGUGUAUGUCAGAAAUUGAUGUAUAAAUAUAUAUUUUAACACAUUUUCUGAAAUUAAACUGCAGUUUUGUUGAAA
RNA transcript from Carlito syrichta (Philippine tarsier), 4341 nucleotides. It is a transcript of the gene named TSC22 domain family member 2, with no coding region annotated. The record is from RefSeq and is a predicted model, not a curated record. Lineage: Eukaryota; Metazoa; Chordata; Mammalia; Primates; Tarsiidae. The transcript is spliced from 5 exons.